Felis catus (domestic cat) is the source of this 752-nucleotide non-coding RNA. NCBI's taxonomy places the organism in Eukaryota, Metazoa, Chordata, Mammalia, Carnivora, Felidae. The record is from the annotation of a RefSeq genome assembly.
GGACCCACAUGCAAAUCACCUGAGGUGCUCCCAGAAAAGACCCGCAUCACAGGCCAAGGCCAGUGUGUUGGGUCUCCAUCCAGAAGACAGAAAUGCAGAUGCUGUGGUCCCUCCUCUGCCUGCUGGCAGCUCCCCUGGGUGUCCUAUCUCAACUUACACUUCGGGAGUCCGGCCCAGGACUGGUGAAGCCUUCACAAUCCCUCUCUCUCACCUGCGUUGUCUCCGGAGGCUCUGUUACCAGCAGUUACUACUGGAACUGGAUCCGCCAGCGCCCUGGGAGAGGGUUGGAGUGGCUGGGGUACUGGUCAGGUAGCAGCAGCUACAACCCGGCUUUCCAGGGCCGCAUCUCCAUCACUGCUGACACAGCCCAGAACCAGUUCUCCCUGCAGCUGAGCUCCAUGACCACCGAGGACACGGCCGUGUAUUACUGUGCAAGAAGCACAGUGAGGGAAAGUCAGUGUGAGCUCAGUCACAAACCUUGGUGCAGGGACCUGGAGGGGCUGGGCUGCAGGGGCACUCAGGAUCCACAAGAGGGCACACAGGACCUACCAGGGGAACUAGGGCAUCAGGGGGUGCUUAGGGCCCCUUACCACAGGGACCAGCCCAGAAACAGGGGCAGAGCAGGAGUGAGGUCCCCACUGUCAGUAUCUGGAGCUUUCUCUUCCUGGCACUCUGAUCCUAUGGGGACCUCCCUUUCUUUCUUGCUUGCGUUCCCUUUUGUUUCAGUCCCAGUGUGAUGUUUGGACCAUGUA